CGGUAAGGCUUGUCACUCCUCGGAGUGACUCGCACACGAGUGGCGCACGGGUGAGUAACGCGUGGGUAAUCUGCCCUCAGGUUUGGGACAACUCCGGGAAACUGGAGCUAAUACCGAAUAAGACCACGAGGUCCUUGGGCCUUGCGGAAAAAGGUGGCCUCUUCUUGAAAGCUAUCGCCUGUAGAUGAGCCCGCGUCCCAUUAGCUUGUUGGUGAGGUAAAAGCUCACCAAGGCAUCGAUGGGUAGCUGGUCUGAGAGGAUGAUCAGCCACACUGGAACUGAGACACGGUCCAGACUCCUACGGGAGGCAGCAGUCGGGAAUCUUGCACAAUGGGCGAAAGCCUGAUGCAGCAACGCCGCGUGAGGGAUGAAGGCCCUCGGGUCGUAAACCUCUGUCGGAAGGGAAGAAAGUAUUCCGGGCCAAUACCCCGGGGUAUCGACGGUACCUUCAAAGGAAGCGCCGGCUAACUCCGUGCCAGCAGCCGCGGUAAUACGGAGGGCGCGAGCGUUAUUCGGAAUCAUUGGGCGUAAAGCGCGUGUAGGCGGCUGGGUAAGUCGGAUGUGAAAGCCCGGGGCUCAACUCCGGAAUUGCAUUCGAAACUGCCCAGCUAGAGUCUCGGAGAGGAGGGCGGAAUUCCCGGUGUAGAGGUGAAAUUCGUAGAUAUCGGGAGGAACACCAGUGGCGAAGGCGGCCCUCUGGACGAUGACUGACGCUGAGACGCGAAAGCGUGGGGAGCAAACAGGAUUAGAUACCCUGAUAGUCCACGCCGUAAACGUUGGGUGCUAGGUGUCGCGGGUAUUGACCCCUGCGGUGCCGACGUUAACGCAUUUAGCACCCCG
Molecule: ribosomal RNA, 840 nt
Filed under: uncultured bacterium
Lineage: Bacteria
Description: bacterial SSU rRNA
Rfam family: Bacterial small subunit ribosomal RNA
Source: RNAcentral